GCCGAACCGUGCGAACGUUGUUCGGAAUCACUGGGCUUAAGGGCGCGUAGGCGGGCGUCCAAGUCAGGGGUGAAAUCUUUCGGCCUAACCGGAAAAGUGCCCCUGAUACUGGACAUCUCGAGAGAGGUAGGGGCGUGUGGAACUUCCGGUGGAGCGGUGAAAUGCGUAGAUAUCGGAAGGAACGCCGGUGGCGAAAGCGACGCGCUGGACCUCUUCUGACGCUGAGGCGCGAAAGCCAGGGGAGAAAACGGG
Molecule: ribosomal RNA, 252 nt
Filed under: uncultured bacterium
Lineage: Bacteria
Description: partial 16S ribosomal RNA
Rfam family: Bacterial small subunit ribosomal RNA
Source: RNAcentral